RNAcentral lists this ribosomal RNA (108 nucleotides) under Lepisosteus oculatus (spotted gar). The record is from RNAcentral. Lineage: Eukaryota; Metazoa; Chordata; Actinopteri; Semionotiformes; Lepisosteidae.
GUCAGCAGCCAUAUCACCCUGCAACUCGCGACUGAAGCUAAGCAGGUGUGAGCCUGGUCAGUACAUGGAUAAGAGACAUCCUGGGAAAAACUAAGGUUGCUGCUGGAA